RNAcentral lists this ribosomal RNA (703 nucleotides) under Azospira sp. AR22. Its description in RNAcentral is "bacterial SSU rRNA". It matches the Rfam family "Bacterial small subunit ribosomal RNA", at positions 61 to 757 of the family's 1533-position model. The record is from RNAcentral. Lineage: Bacteria; Pseudomonadati; Pseudomonadota; Betaproteobacteria; Rhodocyclales; Rhodocyclaceae.
GUCGAACGGCAGCACGGGAGCUUGCUCCUGGUGGCGAGUGGCGAACGGGUGAGUAAUACAUCGGAACGUACCCAGGAGUGGGGGAUAACGUAGCGAAAGUUACGCUAAUACCGCAUAUUCUGUGAGCAGGAAAGCGGGGGAUCGCAAGACCUCGCGCUCUUGGAGCGGCCGAUGUCGGAUUAGCUAGUUGGUGAGGUAAGAGCUCACCAAGGCGACGAUCCGUAGCAGGUCUGAGAGGAUGAUCUGCCACACUGGGACUGAGACACGGCCCAGACUCCUACGGGAGGCAGCAGUGGGGAAUUUUGGACAAUGGGGGCAACCCUGAUCCAGCCAUGCCGCGUGAGUGAAGAAGGCCUUCGGGUUGUAAAGCUCUUUCGGCGGGGAAGAAAUGGCAACGGCUAAUAUCUGUUGUUGAUGACGGUACCCGCAUAAGAAGCACCGGCUAACUACGUGCCAGCAGCCGCGGUAAUACGUAGGGUGCGAGCGUUAAUCGGAAUUACUGGGCGUAAAGCGUGCGCAGGCGGUUUCGUAAGACAGACGUGAAAUCCCCGGGCUCAACCUGGGAACUGCGUUUGUGACUGCGAGGCUAGAGUACGGCAGAGGGGGGUAGAAUUCCACGUGUAGCAGUGAAAUGCGUAGAGAUGUGGAGGAAUACCGAUGGCGAAGGCAGCCCCCUGGGUUAGUACUGACGCUCAUGCACGAA